RNAcentral lists this ribosomal RNA (549 nucleotides) under uncultured Glomeromycotina. Its description in RNAcentral is "SSU rRNA". It matches the Rfam family "Eukaryotic small subunit ribosomal RNA", at positions 548 to 1098 of the family's 1831-position model. Lineage: Eukaryota; Fungi; Glomeromycota. The record is from RNAcentral.
UUGGAGGGCAAGUCUGGUGCCAGCAGCCGCGGUAAUUCCAGCUCCAAUAGCGUAUAUUAAAGUUGUUGCAGUUAAAAAGCUCGUAGUUGAAUUUCGGGAUCAAUAUAUUGGUCGUGCCUCCGGUAUGCACUGGUAUUAUUGAUUUCUACCUUCUGACGAACUGUGAUGUCAUUAAUUUGGUGUCAUGGGGAAUCAGGACUGUUACUUUGAAAAAAUUAGAGUGUUUAAAGCAGGCACACGCUUGAAUACAUUAGCAUGGAAUAAUGAAAUAGGACGUUUGACCCUAUUUUGUUGGUUUCUAGGAUCGACGUAAUGAUUAAUAGGGAUAGUUGGGGGCAUUAGUAUUCAAUUGUCAGAGGCGAAAUUCUUGGAUUUAUUGAAGACUAACUACUGCGAAAGCAUUUGCCAAGGAUGUUUUCAUUAAUCAAGAACGAAAGUUAGGGGAUCGAAGACGAUCAGAUACCGUCGUAGUCUUAACCAUAAACUAUGCCGACUAGGGAUCGGAUGAUGUUAAUUUUAUAAUGACUCAUUCGGCGCCUUACGGGAAAC